Long non-coding RNA from Dromiciops gliroides (monito del monte), 6214 nucleotides. RefSeq lists it as uncharacterized. NCBI's taxonomy places the organism in Eukaryota, Metazoa, Chordata, Mammalia, Microbiotheria, Microbiotheriidae. The transcript is spliced from 4 exons. The record is from RefSeq and is a predicted model, not a curated record.
AGAGAGAGAGAGAGAGAGAGAGAGAGAGAGAGAGAGCGCAGUAGCUCUGCUUUACUGAGCUGAGAGCUUCUGAAUUCCAAGCAGAAAGUACGAGAAGACACACAGCAAUGCGCGUCUUCCCCUCGGCUGCUUGUGUCGAGCUUAGACAAUGAAAAACUAGAUUCCCCACCUACCCCAAACCCCUCCCGCGACAAGAUUUUUGUUUCCGUUCCUUCUGAACCGUGGAGGAUGUGCAAAAACAAAUCAUUUUUAAACAAAAAACAAACUGGGAUGAGGAUUAACCCAAAUUAACACUGGCUGACACAGAGGGAGCUGAUCAGGACUUUGGGAGCCAACAUCUGCCUGACUGGUGACGUCAGCAGCCCCGUGUAAUCCUCUUGUGCUGAAGGCAGAUGCCUUAUUUGUUUGGCUGGAGAGAGCCAUUAAUCCCUAAUUCUGGAUCAGCAAGCGAGGGGGAAAGACCGGACUGCUCCAAUCGACCCCUCCCCCACCCCACCUCCCACCCCUAAAGCACCUAUUACCCAGGAAGGCUUUCAUCGUUCUCUUUUCUGCGAGACAUGCCGAGCUGUUGUGGAAUACGCUUUCCUUCUCUUGCAGGAGCAUACUAAGGGGAUCUAGGAUGCUCUAAACAGGAGUGGUUGUAAGCCGCAUUCGGUCCCCAAUCCCAUACUCCAUAAACGUUACUGCUGUUGCCGCCGCCGCUGCCACCACUACUGCUGGUGUUACUACUACUACCGCUACAGGGUGGGGAAAACCUCUGGAUACCGAAAACCCGGAGAAGUCAAUUUCCUGAGCCUGGAUGGAGCCGCAGCGGACAAAAUGAAAAUAGCCGCGCAUCCUCCUCCACCCGCCUGAAGCGCAACUCCAGCUCCGCCUGUAGAGGUCAAGUCACUUACACACACCCUCCCUCCAUCCCAGAGCUCUUUCCUCUUGACUGUUGCCGCAGUCAGAGUAGGUGCGCGCCCUGCAAGGCCGCCCUUCUUUGCACCAGCCCUAGACCCCCGAGGUGGCGCCAGGACCUGAGGUUUAUUUAUGCGGGGAAUAGAGAACCUUUACUAUCCUCAACACCUUUUUCUUUCUCCUCAACAUAACCGUAGCCAGGCCAGAUGGGCUAUCCAUAUUCUCUGGGGCAUUGGCAGGUGCGAUUAAGUUAUUUUUUUCCGCAUUACAAAGAAAGAUGACCCAGCCCGCUCGUUUAUUUUCACAUCUCUCGAAAGUCUUCAACCAAAAAAAUCUUACUAACCCAGAGGACAUGACUGCAUGCACAUAUAUAUGUUUGGGUUUUUUUUUCCCCUUCAAUCUCUUUCUCCCCCUUCCCAGAUGCCAUAUCUUUUCCGUUGGAGCAGCAAACAAGAUUGUCAGAAGUAUUUUGCAAGAGAAAUGGCAGUCAUCUAAAAAUCGCCAUUCCUCAAAAAUAACUUAGAAUUGAUCUAAUUGGAACAGAUUCAUUUAAUUCUAAGUCGUAGGAUAACACGAUUUUGAAAUUAGAGUAGCUAUAGAAGGCUAAUUGAAUCCCACUGAAGUAAUCAUCUGAAACUAGACUUAGACCAGUAAAUUUACUCUCCUAGAUUUAAUAUUUGUGUAUUACAUGCAUAGAGACAUACAUCCGUAAACAAAUACUUAUACAUAUAUACAGUCUACAUUUCCCCUCAAUAGACUAAUUAACAAUGAAACUAACAGAUGUGGUAACUAACAGAGGCGAGCUCUGACAAGAGCAGCUUCCCUGAUUUACACUCUCUCGGGAGCUGUGGGGAAUCCAGAACGAGGGUAUCCACUACUUUGAGGGGAGGGAAAGAUGAGGAGAGGCAAACUCAGUGUAUCAUUUCCUAUCCGGACAAAGAUCAGAGACUCUGUCUCUCCGUGUUCACAGCGGACCUUGAUUUAAUGUCAUACAAUUAAGGCACGCGGUGAAUGCCAAGAGCGGAGCCUGAAAGACUGCAAUUUGAAGGACACCAGCACAUCUUAGAGGCAGAGAGGAAAAAUUCACCACGAACGAUGGACUCGCUCGCUUUGUGGGGAAGAUCCACAAUCAAAUCUUGAAACCCAGGUAGAGGUCAUGAGACUUUGACAUCUGUAUACCUGCAAAUCUUUCUUCGAGCUGUUAGAAAGAAGAACUUUCCGUGACAGCUUGAUAGGAAAGCAAUAGAUGCAGGAUAUGAGAAUGUCCAGUCAACUAUUAGCUAUCAGGGAUGAAUUCCCCGCCCCCCCCCCCCAGCAUAGGGAAUGUUUCCCGCUCCAUGAUCCAAGAGUGGGUAAGUGGGGCAAAAUAAACCAAUAAAUAAACUAAUAAGAACCCGUAUAAUAAGUGUAACCCAUAGAAGACACAGUAUUUACUUACCAUAUCCCUCUACUCCUUUAAAAUGGAUUGAUGCAAGGGAAUCAAAGAAAUCGCUCAUAGGGUGAAACUUUUGCUGGUUCGUUUUCUUUGUAGAAUAGACCUUGCCUAACUUAAAAUCAAGAGGACCUUCCCUCUUUUUUGCAGUCAAACGCAAGGCGCCGGACCGCUUAAUUUAAUAGAGUGGGACAAACGGGUGGAAAAUUGUAGGUCAGAAAGCUUAGAAGAACUCGGAAAAUUAAUUUAUUUGGAAGACAGUGAGGUGGAUUGUGAGAAGGUAGUAGUUCCGCACCAGGGCACUGGAGCCAAAGGAAAAUCUAGGGCUGAGAAUGGGAGACUUGAUAGAUGUCUUUGUUCAGUCUAGGCCUGUAAGGAACAAAGGAGAGAAGCAGAGAUGAUCUGCAAAAGGUGACAGCAGUCUCCCCCUCCCUCCCAGCCCUCCCCCAGAGCUGUCCGUGGUCCUGACCACAGCCCCUUUCUCUUUGGCUCGCAAUUAAAAGAACAAUCAGACAGAUCCUUUCUGUGGAGCAGGAGUUUGCCCCAGGACAUAACAAUAAAUUAGAUUAUUCAGGAAAUAAAGAUUUUAAAAAAGAGAGACAAGAAGCUUGCAACCCCCUCCUCCCCCAACACAUUCUAAGCAUCACAUUAGGUUAUCCAAACUGCCUUGAACCCCAUAAUUAUAAAUACUUCCAUGAAAACAAUUUCUUGCCUCAGCAGUUCUCAGCAUUUAUAAUUUUGUCCUUUUCAAAUCUAUCUAUACACCCGUAUACAUAUAUUUAACCUAUAUAUGUAUAUAUGUAUUUGAAGAGGACUUGUAUGUAUAUAUGCACCACAUGCAUAUGCAUAUACAUACGUGCGUGUAUGGAUGCCUGCGAAUUUACACGUGUUGUGUGUAUAUAUGUAUAUAACGUGAAUAUGUGUACUGUGUAUGCAAAUACUGCCCUGUUGCAGAAUUAAUGCCUUCAGUUCGCUUCACUAUAUGUGAAAAUCGCCCCCCCCCCCCCCCCGCAAAAAAAAAAUAGGAAUUGAGGAAAGGGUAAAGAAGACUAUUUCCUUACAUGUAUAUGCAUAUUCUUUUUAUAUAUAAAUAAAUUGUUUAUGGAUUUAUCCCCGAGUUAAAGGUAGAAAAACUAAGACCCCAAGGCCAGACCAAUUGUGUUCAUAAAGUAAGGAAAAUAAUUUAUAUUUUAAAAUGUAAAUCUCCCUAAAAUUGCUCACCCUUUCCAUCUUCCAGUACCGCCCCCCCCCCACGCAGGUUUCAUCUACUUAUGCGCAUAAAGGAUGAUAAUGUUUUAGGGAGGGAGGUAGAAGAGGAUGCGCCAAGAGCCAGUCCCUGCACGCAGGCGCACCACACAUUCACAUGCAGAAGAAAUACUGCAGAAAGGUAUUUCUAGAAACCCCCAUGACAUUCUGAUUGCAAUUUAAUGCAUAUGAAAGGGAGCGGCCUUUUCCAAACAUUGAUUGCCAGCAUCACUGCAGUGCGGUAUGUUUGAAAAUCCGACAUCAUCAUGGCAGGGAUUCUGUGGAUUGCAUCAACACUCUGGAAAGAAUUUAGGAGUGAAAGUGAGGGUACGAGCUCUGUAAUAUAUAGGGACUAAGAAAUGUUUUAUAACUUGCCCAGAAGAUUAAGAUAAAAGCAGGGAUCCAGGGUGAAUGAGGGGAGUGUUUAAAGCUCCUUUUUCGAUCUUUCAGGGAAAUUCAAUACUCCUGAACUUUUAUAUAUAUAUGUGUGUGUGUGUGUGUGUGUGUGUGUAUGUAUACAUACAUAUAUGUAUAUAUACACAUAUAUAAUAUGUAUAUAUACACAAUUUAUAUAUUCAAAACUUAUAUAAUAAAAAAGUUCCUUUUCUCCCCCCCCCCGCCCAAAAAAAGAAAAAAACACGAUCUAACUAAACAAAGAACCGGUAGAGGUAAUAUCUAUUUUUUUUAACGACCUUAAUGACAUAGCAUACAUUUUAAAAGACAUGUAAACCUAUGUAUUGCUAAGAGGCAAAUAAAGUAAUAGUCUACAAUGCCUACCUCAAAGCACUAUGUAAGGAUAGAUGCAGAUUGUGAGUAUCCAUGAACUGGACAGAAAGAGAAUAUCUCUCGCACAUUGCAUAUGCUAGCUACCCUUCGAUAUCUGGGCUCAUCUUUCAAUUACCUUUUCAUUGAUCAAAGGGGUUCUUGCUUUUUUCCCUAACGUAGAUUUUCUUUCAUGGUCGCCUUCAUACUUUUUAAAGUCAGAUUGUUUAGAGUCCCGAUAUCGAUGAUUGUACUUAUUUUUCUAUUUAAUUAUAAAAAAUCACUUUUUUUAGGAAGACCAAGGGUAAGGAAAGGAGAUAACCAGGAAACUAACCAAAGGGAAGACUAUGAUUCUGUGGUGCUUUAGGUUGCAGAGGAGAAUCUUUAAAUCAACUGAAACUAGAGUGGAUAGAUUUGCUUCAAGAUUUGCUCUGCACUGCUGUGCAACCCAUAUCUGGAAUUUGGUUAAAUCAAAUUCAUUGUCACUUUUGAUGGAAGUAAUUUUAAGCCAACUCAUAUUCCUCCAUGGUCCUCUUCCAGGUGGCUUUAACAACCGCUAUAUAUCAAUCACCCAUUGCUUAUUCUCAAACCAAAUAAGAACUCUAAAACGAAGCCUAGGUUGCGCAGUAAUAAUGUUACAUAACAUAGACAGGCUCAAUCUUUCUCAUUUAUCCAUACUUUUAUAACAACUUGAGUAGGGUCUUCAGAAAACUUUAUUAGUUAAAAUAACAAUGAUGACCUCAACCUUGUUUGCUAAAUAGAAAAGUAAAUUAUGGUGUAGGAUUGAGAUAGGUCUAAUUUUUGUUACCUAAAAGGGAAGUAAUUCGAUCAUUUGAUUACAGGAUGAAAUUCUGAAUAGUUAUUGUUCUGAAGUGUUCUAAAGUUUGAAACUAUUUUUUUUUUCUUUCUUUAAAAUAUUUUCGGACUUAAUGUCCAGCGCCGGUUUUUUUUUUCCUUCUCACUAAUGAGAUUCUAUCUUCACCAGUCUUGCAAAAACAAUCCAAGUUUCAUUUUCAAUGCGAGAACUUUGUUGAGGUUUGCCUUGGAACCCCUUCUGCAAUCACCACGCUCGUUUAGUGGCCUGAAAUUAAAGCUUAUCUGAACAAUUUGGGGACAGUUUAAGCCACUGAGCUACUUCACCCUCCAUCCCCAACCCCACCCCACCCCACCCCCAUCGAGGUGAAAUCGUAAUGGCACUACCGGGGAAUUACAAAUAGGGUUUGGUUUUGCUACAAGUCAACAACUGCCAGGGGAGAAGAGGAGACCCGCGCGAUGGGCUUAUGAGGACACCGGAGUCGUCAAUGUCAUAGCGCCCUCUGCUGCCUCACAAAAGCUGGACAUCUCCUAUAAAGGCAAGAGUCCCCGAGGAAUCAGAAUACAAUAAACAUUAAAAUAAGGGAACGAGAAAUUCUUUAAACUUAAAAAAAUCUCACUCUCAUAAGUUAAAAAUCCCAUUGUAUGUUGUUUUUAAAAAGUUAAACGAACGAAUAACCAACCUAAAAUGUAUUUUUGGGGGGGUGGGGGUGAGGGAGGGAAUAUGGCUAUGACGAUUUUUUUUUCAUCCUCUGGUGUGGGGGUGGCGGUGACACGUCGUUGGCCGGUGCAUAGAAUUUUCAGUCUUUUCUGGGGGCUUCAGUCAAGUCCAACAUGUAUCUCCCCUUCCCCCUCCAGUCGUUUCCCGGGGCUCGCACGGGGCCGGGAAUGAGCAGGCCAUCGGGGAACAGGACGCGUUUCAUCGAAUUGCAGAGAGAUAAUUCAGAACCACAACAAUGGAAGAGUGAUUUCUAAAGAUCCUGGCACAAGAAAGUGAUUGACCUUCUUACUUUAUCUGGUGUCUCCAAUGAGCUUUCACUUACAAUAUGAAAGAAAUCACCC